RNAcentral lists this ribosomal RNA (553 nucleotides) under Millerozyma farinosa. Its description in RNAcentral is "LSU rRNA". It matches the Rfam family "Eukaryotic large subunit ribosomal RNA", at positions 56 to 617 of the family's 3401-position model. Lineage: Eukaryota; Fungi; Ascomycota; Pichiomycetes; Serinales; Debaryomycetaceae. The record is from RNAcentral.
AAGAACAACAGGGAUUGCCUUAGUAACGGCGAGUGAAGCGGCAAAAGCUCAAAUUUGAAAUCUGGCGUCUUCGGCGUCCGAGUUGUAAUUUGAAGAAGGCUACUUUGGGGCUGGAGUUUGUCUAAGUUCCUUGGAACAGGACGUCACAGAGGGUGAGAAUCCCGUGAGAUAAGCUUCCCAGUUCUAUGUAAAGUGCUUUCGAAGAGUCGAGUUGUUUGGGAAUGCAGCUCUAAGUGGGUGGUAAAUUCCAUCUAAAGCUAAAUAUUGGCGAGAGACCGAUAGCGAACAAGUACAGUGAUGGAAAGAUGAAAAGAACUUUGAAAAGAGAGUGAAAAAGUACGUGAAAUUGUUGAAAGGGAAGGGCUUGAGAUCAGACAUGGUAUUUUGUAAACCUUCUCUCUCGUGGAGGGGGCCCCUUGCAGCUUACUGGGCCAGCAUCAGUUUGGGCGGUAGGAUAAUGACUAAGGAAUGUGACUUGCCUUCGGGGAAGUGUUAUAGCCUUGGUUGAUACUGCCAGCCUAGACUGAGGACCGCGUCUUGACAAGGAUGUGCA